AGGCAUCUUCUUGUUUUUAAAAGACCUAGCAAUAGGUAUGCUUAGGGAGGAGCUUGCGUCACAUUAGUUAGUUGGUGGGGUAAAGGCCUACCAAGACUAUGAUGUGUAGCCGGGCUGAGAGGUUGAACGGCCACAUUGGGACUGAGACACGGCCCAAACUCCUACGGGAGGCAGCAGUAGGGAAUUUUCGGCAAUGGAGGAAACUCUGACCGAGCAACGCCGCGUGAACGAUGAAGUAUUUCGGUACGUAAAGUUCUUUUAUUAGGGAAGAAUAAAUGAUGGAAAAAUCAUUCUGACGGUACCUAAUGAAUAAGCCCCGGCUAACUAUGUGCCAGCAGCCGCGGUAAUACAUAGGGGGCAAGCGUUAUCCGGAAUUAUUGGGCGUAAAGGGUGCGUAGGCGGUUAAAUAAGUUUAUGGUCUAAGUGCAAUGCUCAACAUUGUGAUGCUAUAAAAACUGUUUAGCUAGAGUAAGAUAGAGGCAAGUGGAAUUCCAUGUGUAGUGGUAAAAUGCGUAAAUAUAUGGAGGAACACCAGUAGCGAAGGCGGCUUGCUGGGUCUUUACUGACGCUGAGGCACGAAAGCGUGGGGAGCAAACAGGAUUAGAUACCCUGGUAGUCCACGCCGUAAACGAUGAGUACUAAACGUUGGGUAAAACCAGUGUUGAAGUUAACACAUUAAGUACUCCGCCUGAGUAGUACGUACGCAAGUAUGAAACUUAAAGGAAUUGACGGGACUCCGCACAAGCGGUGGAUCAUGUUGUUUAAUUCGAAGGUACCCGAAAAACCUCACCAGGUCUUGACAUGCUUCUGCAAAGCUGUAGAAACACAGUGGAGGUUAUCAGUUGCACAGGUGGUGCAUGGUUGUCGUCAGUUCGUGUCGUGAGAUGUUGGGUUAAGUCCCGCAACGAGCGCAACCCUUAUUGUUAGUUACCAGCACGUAAUGGUGGGGACUUUAGCAAGACUGCCAGUGAUAAAUUGGAGGAAGGUGGGGACGACGUCAAAUCAUCAUGCCCCUUAUGACCUGGGCUACAAACGUGAUACAAUGGCUGUUACAAAGGGUAGCUGAAGCGCAAGUUUUUGGCGAAUCUCAAAAAAACAGUCUCAGUUCGGAUUGAAGUCUGCAACUCGACUUCAUGAAGUUGGAAUCGCUAGUAAUCGCGAAUCAGCAUGUCGCGGUGAAUACGUUCUCGGGGUUUGUACACACCGCCCGUCAA
Molecule: ribosomal RNA, 1214 nt
Filed under: Candidatus Phytoplasma zeae
Lineage: Bacteria; Bacillati; Mycoplasmatota; Mollicutes; Acholeplasmatales; Acholeplasmataceae
Description: bacterial SSU rRNA
Rfam family: Bacterial small subunit ribosomal RNA
Source: RNAcentral